AGAGUUUGAUCCUGGCUCAGGACGAACGCUGGCGGCGUGCCUAACACAUGCAAGUCGAGCGAGGGGAGUUCUUCGGAACGAACCUAGCGGCGGACGGGUGAGUAACACGUGGGUAACCUGCCUCAAAGAGGGGGAUAGCCUUCCGAAAGGAAGAUUAAUACCGCAUAAUCCAUUGUUUCCGCAUGGGGAUGAUGGUAAAGAUUUAUCGCUUUGAGAUGGACCCGCGGCGCAUUAGCUAGUUGGUGAGGUAAUGGCUCACCAAGGCGACGAUGCGUAGCCGACCUGAGAGGGUGAUCGACCACAUUGGAACUGAGACACGGUCCAGACUCCUACGGGAGGCAGCAGUGGGGAAUAUUGCACAAUGGGCGCAAGCCUGAUGCAGCAACGCCGCGUGAGUGAUGAAGGUCUUCGGAUUGUAAAGCUCUGUCUUUUGGGACGAUAAUGACGGUACCAAAGGAGGAAGCCACGGCUAACUACGUGCCAGCAGCCGCGGUAAUACGUAGGUGGCAAGCGUUGUCCGGAUUUACUGGGCGUAAAGGGUGCGUAGGUGGAUAUUUAAGUCAGAUGUGAAACCCCUGGGCUCAACUCAGGGACUGCAUUUGAAACUGGAUAUCUGGAGUGCAGGAGAGGUAAGUGGAAUUCCUAGUGUAGCGGUGGAAUGCGUAGAGAUUAGGAAGAACACCAGUGGCGAAGGCGACUUACUGGACUGUAACUGACACUGAGGCACGAAAGCGUGGGUAGCAAACAGGAUUAGAUACCCUGGUAGUCCACGCCGUAAACGAUGAGUACUAGGUGUAGGGGGUAUCGACUCCCUCUGUGCCGCAGUUAACACAAUAAGUACUCCGCCUGGGAAGUACGAUCGCAAGAUUAAAACUCAAAUGAAUUGACGG
This 890-nucleotide ribosomal RNA is filed under the name uncultured bacterium. RNAcentral's name for it is "bacterial SSU rRNA". It matches the Rfam family "Bacterial small subunit ribosomal RNA", at positions 8 to 916 of the family's 1533-position model. The record is from RNAcentral.